Molecule: long non-coding RNA, 529 nt
Filed under: Homo sapiens (human)
Lineage: Eukaryota; Metazoa; Chordata; Mammalia; Primates; Hominidae
Description: PREDICTED lncRNA (TCONS_00168415)
Source: RNAcentral
UGAGGUUUCUGUAGUGGAUAAAACACAAAAAUACCAGCCCUCAUGGUGAAAAUGGAAUGACAAUAAACAAGAUAAAUUAGAUCUAUGCAACAAAACCAAGCCUUUGUGCACAUCUGUGGUUGUGACCAGUUGGAGAGACAUUAGGAGAUGAGAUACUAUGUUCACUCCUCACAGCUGUACCAGGGACCUGAGAUAUUCCGUCACUAUUCUAUGAGCCUGGGCUGGUGAAUGGUUCCUGCUUUCACUAUUCCAGAUGUCCAGCUCUGUACCUUGCUGCUCUCCUUAAAGCCUGCCUCCCUCUAGGGAGCUAUGGUGCAUUACUCACGAGUGACAGAACCAACGAGCUUCAUCUCCCAAGAGGCUGGUGCAUCUGUUUAAAGGAGCAGGCACUAGGCAGAGCAGCCCCCACCCCACCCUCCAUGGCAGAGUGCAGUGGGGGAAGGGAUGGGAUUUCACCAUGUUGUCCAAGCUGGUUUUGAACUCCUGGGGUCAAGAAAUCCACCUGCUUCGGCCUCCCACAGUGCUGGGA